AUUCAUGUAGUUUAUAAAAACAUUUCAUUUUCAAUGAAAAAAUGAGUUUACACUCCUUGAAUU
This 63-nucleotide transfer RNA is filed under the name Oncocephalus breviscutum. Its description in RNAcentral is "tRNA-Glu". It matches the Rfam family "tRNA". Rfam says of the family: Transfer RNA (tRNA) molecules are approximately 80 nucleotides in length. Their secondary structure includes four short double-helical elements and three loops (D, anti-codon, and T loops). The record is from RNAcentral. Lineage: Eukaryota; Metazoa; Arthropoda; Insecta; Hemiptera; Reduviidae.